Notothenia coriiceps (black rockcod) is the source of this 98-nucleotide long non-coding RNA. RefSeq lists it as uncharacterized. The record is from RefSeq and is a predicted model, not a curated record. The transcript is spliced from 3 exons. NCBI's taxonomy places the organism in Eukaryota, Metazoa, Chordata, Actinopteri, Perciformes, Nototheniidae.
UUCAGUCAUAAUGUUUACAUCAACAACAAACAAACCAUUACACUUUACUAUGCACAUUUUUGCCUGGAACAUCAACCUUUAACCUUUAAACCUGUCUG